Molecule: ribosomal RNA, 253 nt
Filed under: uncultured bacterium
Lineage: Bacteria
Description: partial 16S ribosomal RNA
Rfam family: Bacterial small subunit ribosomal RNA
Source: RNAcentral
UACAGAGGUCCCAAGCGUUGUUCGGAUUCACUGGGCGUAAAGAGUGCGUAGGCGGUUGGGUAAGUCUGAUGUGAAAUCUCACAGCUUAACUGUGAAACUGCAUUGGAUACUAUUCGGCUAGAGGAAUGGAGGGGAGACUGGAAUACUUGGUGUAGCAGUGAAAUGCGUAGAUAUCAAGUGGAACACCAGUGGCGAAGGCGAGUCUCUGGACAUUUCCUGACGCUGAGGCACGAAAGCCAGGGGAGCAAACGGG